GAUGAACGCUGGCGGCGUGCCUAAUACAUGCAAGUCGAGCGAACGGACGAGAAGCUUGCUUCUCUGAUGUUAGCGGCGGACGGGUGAGUAACACGUGGAUAACCUACCUAUAAGACUGGGAUAAAUUCGGGAAACCGGAGCUAAUACCGGAUGAUAUUUUGAACCGCAUGGUUCAAAAGUGAAAGACGGUCUUGCUGUCACUUAUAGAUGGAUCCGCGCUGCAUUAGCUAGUUGGUAAGGUAACGGCUUACCAAGGCAACGAUGCAUAGCCGACCUGAGAGGGUGAUCGGCCACACUGGAACUGAGACACGGUACAGACUCCUACGGGAGGCAGCAGUAGGGAAUCUUCCGCAAUGGGCGAAAGCCUGACGGAGCAACGCCGCGUGAGUGAUGAAGGUCUUCGGAUCGUAAAACUCUGUUAUUAGUGAAGAACAUAUGUGUAAGUAACUGUGCACAUCUUGACGGUACCUAAUCAGAAAGCCACGGCUAACUACGUG
Molecule: ribosomal RNA, 497 nt
Filed under: uncultured bacterium
Lineage: Bacteria
Description: partial 16S ribosomal RNA
Rfam family: Bacterial small subunit ribosomal RNA
Source: RNAcentral